ACGUGGCCAAAUCCUGGCCCUUGACACGAGGAUUGGCUGGAGAGGUUGGUUGGAGAGGAUCGGAACUCGUAUAUGCAUAUCUCUCUCUUCCUGUCGAUUCUUCUUCUAGGGUUUACAAUCUUGAAUCUCCUCCAAGGGUUUGGAUCAACUCUCCUCUUGCCUGACGUUGCUUCUUGCGAUUUGAAGCUAGGCUGGUUCGCUUAACUCUUGAACACCCACAAUACCCAUUAGAUUAUUCGUUUCCAUCACAUGAGGAGGCCUUAAAUAAAUCAUUAGAUCUUAAGAUCACAAAUAAAGCAGUGAUGAUGAUUUGUAGCAGUAGUGCCCUUGAAAGUCACAAAGGGACCUUCUAAGAUUUUAAGGUCACCUGGUAAAUGGCUUGUGCCUGCUGUUUCUGCACGAAUCCAAGGAUAAUGUGUUUAUGAUGUCAAAUAAGAAAUCAAAAUAUCCAGUUCUUCAACUAGAAUUAAGGCUGAUUUCAGACUUCGUGGUGGUUAUAGUUUCUGCUGCUAUUGGUGGAAUUAUCUUUUCUUGUCUUGGACAACCAAUUUGUAUCUGUAACUGGUUGCUGCGUUCUUUUGCAGUUUUGGUUCUAAUAGUUUGAUUUUAUUUUUACAUUCAGCCACAUGCAGUGAGCUGUAUGUGUACAAAUUUUAGAGCUUAAUGUUACUUUAUGGCUACCAAUGCUAGGUAAUUGAUGGCUGUCUCCUUGCUGGUUCACUUGUUGGUCCAGGAGGUUUGAAAUUCAAGAGUGAAAUGGAACAGGUCUGUUGUCAUGAAUAGUUCAAGCUCAUUGCUUUCUAAGAUUGUGGUGUUUUCCUUCUCUAGUUUCCUGGAUUAUGAAGGCCUGGAAGGUUAUAAAUCCCGAAGGGGGGACUGACGAUGCUGAAGAGAAAGGGCUUGAUGAUGAUUCUUCCCACGGAUUUUGGAGGAGUCACUUAAGUUUAUUUGAUUUUUUAGGUUUUCUUUGGAAUAUAUUACUAUAUCUGUAUCUAUAUUUUGCCUUAUGCUUCAAAUUGUAUGUUGAGCUGUGAUAAAUUCGUCUUAGUUUGGUAACAAAAUUAUAGGUCCAUGCCUUGAGAUCAUUGUACUCAUCUUUAUUUUGGUAAUAAAAUUUCUUACCCAAAAAAAUGGUUUGGGUAGGAUAUCACCUAAUUUCAAAAUA
This is a non-coding RNA of Camellia sinensis, 1165 nucleotides long. The record is from RefSeq and is a predicted model, not a curated record. NCBI's taxonomy places the organism in Eukaryota, Viridiplantae, Streptophyta, Magnoliopsida, Ericales, Theaceae.